CGCGUAGACGGUUUUGUAAGUCAGAUGUGAAAUCCCCGGGCUCAACCUGGGAACUGCAUUUGAUACUGCAUGGCUAGAGUAUGGAAGAGGGAAGUGGAAUUUCCGGUGUAGCGGUGAAAUGCGUAGAUAUCGGAAGGAACACCAGUGGCGAAAGCGACUUCCUGGUCCAAUACUGACGUUCAUGUGCGAAAGCGUGGGGAGCAAACAGGAUUAGAUACCCUGGUAGUCCACGCCAUAAACGAUGACAACUAGAUGUUGGGAGGGUCUGCCUCUCGGUGUCGCAGCUAACGCGUUAAGUUGUCCGCCUGGGGAGUACGGCCGCAAGGUUGAA
RNAcentral lists this ribosomal RNA (331 nucleotides) under uncultured bacterium. Its description in RNAcentral is "bacterial SSU rRNA". It matches the Rfam family "Bacterial small subunit ribosomal RNA", at positions 568 to 898 of the family's 1533-position model. The record is from RNAcentral.